Molecule: ribosomal RNA, 1145 nt
Filed under: Rummeliibacillus stabekisii
Lineage: Bacteria; Bacillati; Bacillota; Bacilli; Caryophanales; Caryophanaceae
Description: bacterial SSU rRNA
Rfam family: Bacterial small subunit ribosomal RNA
Source: RNAcentral
GGGAUAACUUCGGGAAACCGGAGCUAAUACCGGAUAAUCCAUUUUACUUCAUGGUGAAAUGUUGAAAGGCGCUUUCGCGCCACUGCAGGAUGGGCCCGCGGUGCAUUAGCUAGUUGGUGGGGUAACGGCCUACCAAGGCGACGAUGCAUAGCCGACCUGAGAGGGUGAUCGGCCACAUUGGGACUGAGACACGGCCCAAACUCCUACGGGAGGCAGCAGUAGGGAAUCUUCCACAAUGGACGAAAGUCUGAUGGAGCAACGCCGCGUGAGUGAUGAAGGUUUUCGGAUCGUAAAACUCUGUUGUAAGGGAAGAACAAGUACGUUAGGAAAUGAACGUACCUUGACGGUACCUUAUUAGAAAGCCACGGCUAACUACGUGCCAGCAGCCGCGGUAAUACGUAGGUGGCAAGCGUUGUCCGGGAUUUAUUGGGCGUAAAGCGCGCGCAGGUGGUUUCUUAAGUCUGAUGUGAAAUCUCGCGGCUCAACCGCGAGCGGUCAUUGGAAACUGGGGAACUUGAGUGCAGAAGAGGAUAGUGGAAUUCCAAGUGUAGCGGUGAAAUGCGUAGAGAUUUGGAGGAACACCAGUGGCGAAGGCGACUGUCUGGUCUGUAACUGACACUGAGGCGCGAAGCGUGGGGAGCAAACAGGAUUAGAUACCCUGGUAGUCCACGCCGUAAACGAUGAGUGCUAAGUGUUAGGGGGUUUCCGCCCCUUAGUGCUGCAGCUAACGCAUUAAGCACUCCGCCUGGGGAGUACGACCGCAAGGUUGAAACUCAAAGGAAUUGACGGGGGCCCGCACAGCGGUGGAGCAUGUGGUUUAAUUCGAAGCAACGCGAAGAACCUUACCAGGUCUUGACAUCCCAGUGACCGCUCUAGAGAUAGAGUUUUCCCUUCGGGGACAUUGGUGACAGGUGGUGCAUGGUUGUCGUCAGCUCGUGUCGUGAGAUGUUGGGUUAAGUCCCGCAACGAGCGCAACCCUUGAUCUUAGUUGCCAUCAUUUAGUUGGGCACUCUAAGGUGACUGCCGGUGACAAACCGGAGGAAGGUGGGGAUGACGUCAAAUCAUCAUGCCCCUUAUGACCUGGGCUACACACGUGCUACAAUGGACGGUACAAAGAGUCGCAAACUCGCGAGAGCAAGCUAAUC